Equus caballus (horse) is the source of this 493-nucleotide long non-coding RNA. The record is from Ensembl. NCBI's taxonomy places the organism in Eukaryota, Metazoa, Chordata, Mammalia, Perissodactyla, Equidae.
CAGACGCUGUGCUCUUUACUUCUAAGCCAUACUGCCUCAUUGUGAGGUCACCCUCAAUUAAAGGCAGCUCCCCCACUCCAAGAUCUCUCUUAGAUCUCUUCUCUCUGUUCCUUAUGGAAAAGAUUCCCAGACUUCAGUCUCUUCUCCAACACUAUCUGAGUCUCCACCAUCUUCUUCUCUGCAACAUGGUGACUGCUAAGGCUGCCGGGCAAGCCCUGAACAGCCACAUGGACCAAUCUGAACUCUUCACAUACUUGUAAAUGUUAUUGAGAUAUCCCACAGGAAAGCACGAUGAGCUACAGAGAGCAUCCCCUUGAAGUGGGAGAGCAGGAAGGCAUCAUAAUGACAUUCCUGACUUUUGAGCAAUUACCUGUUAAGGAAGAUGACUGGCCUCUAUCACCCAGCCAGGUGAAAAAAAAAUAAACCUUUCAGAAUUUCAAAAAGACAUGGAUUUUAGAAAAUGAUUUUCUUUAUUGUUAAAGAUUUAUGUCCC